CAGUCGCCGCGGUAAUACGAAGGGGGCUAGCGUUGCUCGGAAUGACUGGGCGUAAAGGGCGCGUAGGCGGCGGCCAAAGUCAGGCGUGAAAUUCCCGGGCUCAACCUGGGGGCUGCGUUUGAUACUUGGUUGCUUGAGUGGGGAAGAGGGUCGUGGAAUUCCCAGUGUAGAAGUGAAAUUCGUAGAUAUUGGGAAGAACACCGGUGGCGAAGGCGGCGACCUGGUCCUUUACUGACGCUGAGGCGCGAAAGCGUGGGGAGCAAACAGGAUUAGAGACCCCUGUAGUCCCUGUCUCUUAUAC
RNAcentral lists this ribosomal RNA (301 nucleotides) under uncultured bacterium. RNAcentral's name for it is "partial 16S ribosomal RNA". It matches the Rfam family "Bacterial small subunit ribosomal RNA", at positions 509 to 807 of the family's 1533-position model. The record is from RNAcentral.